This 352-nucleotide unclassified non-coding RNA is filed under the name Hevea brasiliensis (rubber tree). Lineage: Eukaryota; Viridiplantae; Streptophyta; Magnoliopsida; Malpighiales; Euphorbiaceae. The record is from RNAcentral.
UAUAUAUAUAUGUUUCGAAUUUAUAAUUUUAACUUAUAAUUUAUUUUUUAAUGAAUAAGCUUAUUAUGUAUAAUGCUAAAUUAAAAGAAAAAUCUCCCCGUGGAAACCUGCUCCGCCCAUCACCCGUCAGGGAAAUUACCGUCCCGCUUCAAUCCUCUAUGGGGCGGGGACGAUUAAGGUAAAAUUGUUAAAUUGGAGUCAAUUUUAAUGGAUUACUUUUUGUUAUUAUUUUUGGAUUCUUUUAUCAAUAACUGAUUAGGAAUAUUAGUUGUCUUAGUUGGAUGUCAUUACAGGAAAAAAAAAUAUAUAUAUAUAUGAUAACUCUUUUCAGGCAUCAGUUCUUGGCCGGGGA